AAACCAGCACCUCAAGUGGUCAGGAUAAUUAUUGGGCCUAAAGCAUCCGUAGCCUGUUGCAUAAGUUUUCGGUUAAAUCCAUAUGCUCAACAUAUGGGCUGCCGGGAAUACUGUGCGACUAGGGAGUGGGAGAGGUAGACGGUACUCGGUAGGAAGGGGUAAAAUCCUUUGAUCUAUUGAUGACCACCUGUGGCGAGGGCGACCGGCCAGAACGCACUCGACGGUGAGGGACGAAAGCUGGGGGAGCAAACCGGAUUAGAUACCCGAGUAGUCC
RNAcentral lists this ribosomal RNA (274 nucleotides) under uncultured bacterium. RNAcentral describes it as "partial 16S ribosomal RNA". It matches the Rfam family "Archaeal small subunit ribosomal RNA", at positions 473 to 747 of the family's 1478-position model. The record is from RNAcentral.